AAUCCAUAGGUUAAUGAGGCGAACCGGGGGAACUGAAACAUCUAAGUACCCCGAGGAAAAGAAAUCAACCGAGAUUCCCCCAGUAGCGGCGAGCGAACGGGGAGGAGCCCAGAGCCUGAAUCAGCAUGUGUGUUAGUGGAAGCGUCUGGAAAGGCGCGCGAUACAGGGUGACAGCCCCGUACACAAAAGCGCAUGUGCUGUGAGCUCGAUGAGUAGGGCGGGACACGUGGUAUCCUGUCUGAAUAUGGGGGGACCAUCCUCCAAGGCUAAAUACUCCUGACUGACCGAUAGUGAACCAGUACCGUGAGGGAAAGGCGAAAAGAACCCCGGCGAGGGGAGUGAAAAAGAACCUGAAACCGUGUACGUACAAGCAGUGGGAGCACAGGUUUACCUGUGUGACUGCGUACCUUUUGUAUAAUGGGUCAGCGACUUAUAUUCUGUAGCAAGGUUAAC
Molecule: ribosomal RNA, 453 nt
Filed under: Salmonella enterica subsp. enterica serovar Muenchen
Lineage: Bacteria; Pseudomonadati; Pseudomonadota; Gammaproteobacteria; Enterobacterales; Enterobacteriaceae
Also listed under: 4 other names
Description: partial 23S ribosomal RNA
Rfam family: Bacterial large subunit ribosomal RNA
Source: RNAcentral